UGGGGAAUAUUGGACAAUGGGCGAAAGCCUGAUCCAGCCAUGCCGCGUGUGUGAAGAAGGUCUUCGGAUUGUAAAGCACUUUAAGUUGGGAGGAAGGGCAGUAAAUUAAUACUUUGCUGUUUUGACGUUACCGACAGAAUAAGCACCGGCUAACUCUGUGCCAGCAGCCGCGGUAAUACAGAGGGUGCAAGCGUUAAUCGGAAUUACUGGGCGUAAAGCGCGCGUAGGUGGUUCGUUAAGUUGGAUGUGAAAUCCCCGGGCUCAACCUGGGAACUGCAUUCAAAACUGACGAGCUAGAGUAUGGUAGAGGGUGGUGGAAUUUCCUGUGUAGCGGUGAAAUGCGUAGAUAUAGGAAGGAACACCAGUGGCGAAGGCGACCACCUGGACUGAUACUGACACUGAGGUGCGAAAGCGUGGGGGAGCAAAACAGGAUUAGAUACCC
RNAcentral lists this ribosomal RNA (442 nucleotides) under uncultured bacterium. RNAcentral describes it as "partial 16S ribosomal RNA". It matches the Rfam family "Bacterial small subunit ribosomal RNA", at positions 355 to 787 of the family's 1533-position model. The record is from RNAcentral.